Non-coding RNA from Rattus norvegicus (Norway rat), 3709 nucleotides. Lineage: Eukaryota; Metazoa; Chordata; Mammalia; Rodentia; Muridae. The record is from RefSeq and is a predicted model, not a curated record.
AAUCUAUGAAUAUGAGUUUACAAGGUAGCACCUUUAGGUGUUUAGGUUCACAGUUACUUUAAUGCGUGCUGACUCACAAGCUGUAAAACGCAUCACAAGUCAAAAUAGUUAUUUGAGACAUAGACGUUACACCACUAGGUGGCACUAUUUGGCAACCUGAUACCUGUGCUGACUUCAAGGAUUAGGUUGUCUUUGUUGGGUAUUCUAUGAGGCAGGAUCUCUCUCCUUAGCCCUACUGAUUUGAAACUCGUUGUGUCUGAACAGUGUGCUCUCAAACUCGAGGCAUUUCUCCUGCCUCUGUGUCUUGAGCGUGGGAAUUCCCGCUGCGAGCCGCCACAUUCUGCUAGAUCACGGUUCUGUUGUACUUCGCCACACUCCACCAUUAUUCCGAAGGGUUGGUUGGGAUGACAGGCUUGAGCCACAACCCCGUCCAUUCAAGAGUACUCAUUACAGGAUUUCCAUUAACAGUGAAGUUGUGAAAAACUUCAAUCACUAGCAAAUGAAAACUGAAGCAGGCUGAAAUAAACACUAUGGACUGCACCAGCAACCGGCCAGGGCAGCAUCUGAGACUCAGAAAAAUCUUCAGGAUAAAUUGUCAGGAAACCUGGAACUGGCAAGCAAGCCCACAGACUGGAGGCCGGAAGUCGAUGACCAGAGUGCCAGCAGCACAGACCAAACUGGGAGGAAUCCAUUCUGGGUUGUGGAUGGCCACCUGCUUGCCGGGUUCUCACGUGGCCAGGAGUCCAAGUGAGCAGGAUUGCCCACCUCUUCCUCAUGCAGCGUGAGGGAGGGACUGAACCCAGGGCUUGUGUUUGCCAGACCGGCAGUCCUUCCGCUGAGCUCCACCCCGCCACCCAUUUUCUCACAUGGCCACUGGACUUUACUGUUUUCUUCCCCAACAUAAUUUUAUUAAUCAUUUCAGACAACGUACCCUGGUUACAUUUGUUUCCCAUUCUUCUCACCCUUGUGUCCCAGCCCAAAAAGAAAAGAAAAGAAAAAACAAAACACCCAACUGAAUCUGAUUUGUGUUGCUCAUAUACUCAUUGGAGCGUGGUCAAAUUCCCAGCGACCAGCCCUUUAGAGAUAGCUAAGUUCCCUCCCCCACCCCACCCCUAAUCCCACCCCCGCCCCCAUCAGAAGCCAUGGACUGUCAAGAGCUACACUUCGGCAUCUAUAUCACAAUUUUAAGGACUCUCUUCCACAGUUUCACUUCUGGACUGUUUCUUGUGGGAGAGGGGAGGUUGGCAGAAAAGACUUCAAAAAUCUCUCAAUCUCAGUUGAGGUCUGCGCUCAAGCACUGUAACGGAAGCUUGCUUGCCCACAGCAGCUUGCGGCGUCGAGAGUGAUGGACAGCGCAUGUCCUCUGGCUGGCAGCAUGGAUCUCAGACACAGAUGUGGAUUCAGCGGCACCCAGGACCUCUAAGGUCAACACGUCCUCCAGUCACAGCACUGAUCAUAGAAGUCUUUCAAGGGGACAACUCAGAAAACGAACCGUUCUUCAUCUCAGACAUUUCGUUGCUCGGAGUCAGGGUGAUCAUGGGAUUGGGCAGCCUGUGUGGGGAACAGGAGUGGGGGUGGGGGCCACCUAGAAGAGCCGCGACUCCAUGCUGUGGGCUAGGCAGGCGGGAGCCGCGUGAGGUGGAUGCAAUAAUGGCCGGAGCCUCCAGGGGCCUAGGAGAACCUCCUCUACUGGGCAAUGACUUGCUCCUUUGUCCGCUGCUGCCGGGCUCCCGGCUCCCGUACCCAUCGCUACCCAGUCUCGUCUCCCUCUGUCGUGCUGCUCUGUUCUACAGCUGAAAAAUAAAUAUUUGGGGGUGGGGCACAAGUCAUCGAACUUUUCAUAGUUUCUAUCUCUGUGCCGAAAUUCCCUCUCUUACUGUACUCACUGUCAACUUUCCCCACCAGAUCUUUUAAUGUAUUGUUACACUUUUUAAAAUUCUUCUCUGCUAAUUUGAAUACUCAGAUCGUAUGCAAAUCUGCUUCUGUUGCUUCUGCCUAGUAUAAUUUUUUUUCCUUCUGAAUCGUUUUCUCUGCUGUUCUUCCAGCAGGAAACGCAAUGCCUCAUACAGGCUGGAGGACGCAAUGCCUCCACUUUUGUUCAUUGAAAAAAAAUUUUGAUGCUGUUUCAUAUUUAUGUGUUUGUGAGUGCACGCUCGUGCAUAUGUGUGCAUGUGUGUGCAUGUUAUGUGUACAUGUGAGUAGAGAAGGACACGCAGUGCCCUGUUCCAUCACUCCCCACCGUAUUCCAUUGAGGAAGGGCCUCCCUGAAGCUGGACCUCUCAUUUUCCAGCAAACCUUACACCAGCAAUCUGCAGUGACUUCCUUUCUCCAUCCCACCCUGCAAUGUGGUCUCAGGGAUCCUCAGGGCCACGCCCAGUUUGUUCUGUGGGAGCUGGAAUCCAAACUCUGGUCUUUGUAGUCAUAAAAACAAGCACUCUGACUUGCUAGACCGUUACUCCAACCUGAAAAGGUUUUCAAUGUUAUUGAAGAAUGGAUGGCUCAAUCGGUAAUGUGCCUGGAGCUGCACAGACAUGAGGAUUUGAGUUAAGAUCCCCAGUUCUCAUGUAAAGCUGGGCAUAGCUCUUGUAGCUGACCUCAGUGCUGUGUCAGGGGUCACAACAGGUGGCUCCCUGGAGCUUCUUGUCCAGCCAACCUAGCCAAAUAGAUGAGUUCUGGAUUGAUUAAUAGACCUCACGUCUAACAGUAGAGUAGCACACUAUUGAGCAAGACUUCCGGCCUUUAGACUCAUGCGUAUACUCAUAUCUGCACACAAACAAGUAACUCUGGGCACACACAGGUAAAUACACACACACACACUAAAAUCAAGGGCCUUUACCUGCUGAGUCAUCUCCCCAGAUUCUGUUACUUUUAAGUGUUAUAUUGUUUCCCUUUCAGAUUUUAUUGAAUACAUCAUGUUUACUGGGGUUUUGUUUGUUUCUAUUCAAGAAUGUAACUUGUUACUUGCUCCACCUGGUGAAAUUUUUUAGAUUCUAUGUUUCCAUUUCUAAAACUUUAGUUUGGUUCAUUUGUUUGUUUAAUUUUUCUGUUAUUAAAAUUUCCGUUAUAAUUAGAUAUCGAAUGGUUUAUGACUCAUUGAAGGCUUGGUCUCCGGCAGUUGGCAAGCAUAAGAGGUAAUUUGAUCAUGACUGUGUUAUCUUAUCAAUGACCAGUUCAUAGUUCAACCGGCUUACUAGGGCUUAACUCUGUGUGUGUGUGUGUGUGUGUGUUUGUGUGUGUGUAUGUCCCAGGGUGGGGGAGGGGCAGCUAGGGAGUGACUUGAAAGGUCUGCUCUGGCUACUGACCUCUUUCUCUUGUGCUUGUCUUUUCUCAGUAGAGCCCAUUAACCAUGGACAGAAAACUCUAAAACCUUGAGUCAAAAUGAACUUUGCAUCUCCCGAAUUGUCUUUCUCAGGCUGUGCAGUCAGUUUUCUGUCAACCUGACACAAGCUAAGAGCAUUUGGGAAGAGGAUGUCUCAAGUGAGAAGACCCAAGCCACUGUGGGUGGAACCUUCCCUGGGUUGGCAGUCCUAGGUUCUAUAAGAAAGCAGGCUGAGCAAGCCAUGGGGAGAAAGCCAGUAAGCAGCAUCCCCUCCAUGGCCUCUGCAUCAGCUCCUCCCUCCAGGUUCUGACUUUAAGUUCUUACCCUGGCUUCUACUGACAACUGCCUGUACAGUAGAAAUGAAAGCUAAAUAAAUCCCUUUCUCUUCAA